RNAcentral lists this transfer RNA (72 nucleotides) under Conger myriaster (whitespotted conger). RNAcentral's name for it is "tRNA-Val". It matches the Rfam family "tRNA". Rfam says of the family: Transfer RNA (tRNA) molecules are approximately 80 nucleotides in length. Lineage: Eukaryota; Metazoa; Chordata; Actinopteri; Anguilliformes; Congridae. RNAcentral also lists the same sequence under 1 other name. The record is from RNAcentral.
UAGAAUGUAGCUUUAAAGUCAAAGCAUCUCCCUUACACCGAGAAGACACCCGUGCAAACCGGGUCACUCUAA